Molecule: long non-coding RNA, 199 nt
Filed under: Setaria italica (foxtail millet)
Lineage: Eukaryota; Viridiplantae; Streptophyta; Magnoliopsida; Poales; Poaceae
Description: long non-coding RNA (SITA_LNC000727)
Source: RNAcentral
CAUGAUCCAGCAGUCGAGAGCACGUCACGUUCCAGCGUUGAUGGCUGCAAUAAACAAGCAGGCUUAGCGGCAAGCCGAGAUCCGCGGAUGGUGGGGGCGAUCUUGGGAACCCGGGCGGCAAGCGCAUCCCAUCAGCCAGCCGGGGAGCAUCAUCAGCGCAGCGGGCUGGGGAAGCCAAGGCUUUGCUUAGAAAAACGCC